ACACAUAUGCUAGCAAAGAUCUGCCCAAAUAUCUUCUAAACUUUCCACUGCCUCAGCCCAAUCUUAACAUUUAAGCAAGCGAUACGCUAUCCUGAAAAAUUUAUCAACAAACGGGGUGAGCAUAAAGAGCUCAGCAAGUGACUAACAUAUCCAUAUCAAAAUAGUACAAUUUCCAAAGAGAUACAGUUUCAAAAUACAAGGCAGAAUAUACGAUUUCGUAGACAUAAUAUCAUUAGGAGCAAAAACACAAUUGUCCUUUCAAUCAUACAUAUUUGGUUCAUAACAGAUAGAGCAUAUAGUAAUUGGAGCAUAUCAGAAACAAAGGAAACAUAACAGAGCUUAUCAAUGGCAUAUAAAAUGUUCCGAAGCAUAUCAACGGCAUAUGGAACAUUUCGAAGCAAAAUCGUCGGUGAAUGAAGCAUUUCAGAGCAUAUCAAAAACAAAUAUCGUACAGAAGCUCAAACGUCGUCCUUGACGUCGCAAUCAUAUCAUUUUUAUCCAGAGCAUGAACAGAAACAACUCACCAAAACUCUGGAUGUCAUAUCAAACAUAUAGAAGGUGUAGUGGGAUCUCAGUCAGAAUGUGAUUCAUCCAUCUCGGAAUGACCACCUGACAAAAGUCUCCCACGUCUGGGAGCUCCAUCCACCCACGUCUAGGUGAAGUCAGAGGGGCCGGCAGAGCAUCGCAGGCUCUAAGCACAUACCCUUUACUAUUUCUGGCAAAGGUCCAGAAUAUCCCACACAACGGGACCCCACAUAGCAGGCAAUAAGCGCAUACCCUUUACCAUUUCUGGCAAAGGUCCAGAAUAUCCCACAUAGCGGGACCCCACAUAGCGGGCAAUAAGCGCAUACCCUUUACCAUUUCUGGCAAAGGUCCAGACAAUCCCACACACCAGAGUACAAGAUGGCAGUUUCAACAAUAAGUAGCAUAUAUUGGAAGCACACGCGGAACAACAAAACGUACAUGUGCCUUUUCGAAACAAUACGAAACAAAGAACAAAUAUCUCACAAACGUAUUCAGAUUUGGAAUGAAAUGAAAACAAGAGUGUACAGGGAUUCCAAGCAAUCAUAUUUAGCUCAAUUCCAAUAAAAAGGUUAGACGAAUUCAAAUAUCCAAAGGAAUGGAACAGAAUACGCGAAAUCGACCAAAGCUCGAUUUUAGACAGAAUUCCAGUGGCACAUCAAACAAAUACUUCAGAAUAUCAAUUAUGCUCCAAUACCCAUAAGAAAGCUAUGGUCGAACCAUAUAUCAAUCUAUAUUCUGAUGGAACAAAUUUCAUAUGAAACAGGGUUCCCAACACGGAGUUACCUUUGAUUUGGUAACACAAGGUCAAAAACACAAUCACUGUUUUGCAGAAUUUAUAGGGUCGGAUUCAACAGAUAAUAGGGUAGGCAAUUGAAUUCCAAAAUUUUCAAACUAUAUGUCAAAAGAAAUAUUUUCAAGUCUAGUUUCAAAUAAAAUUAGUUUGGUACAAAUCAAAAUUUUCAACAGAGAGUUAUAGGCAUUUUAGUAUCGACAGGUCAGAAAUCUUGAACCCUGUUUUACAGCAUCUAUAGGCUCAUUUGAAACAGAUGUUUGGGUAAGUAUUCGGUGUCCAAAAUCUACAAAAUCAGU
RNAcentral lists this long non-coding RNA (1614 nucleotides) under Musa acuminata (dwarf banana). RNAcentral's name for it is "long non-coding RNA (MACU_LNC010871)". The record is from RNAcentral. Lineage: Eukaryota; Viridiplantae; Streptophyta; Magnoliopsida; Zingiberales; Musaceae.